Felis catus (domestic cat) is the source of this 352-nucleotide long non-coding RNA. RefSeq lists it as uncharacterized. The record is from RefSeq and is a predicted model, not a curated record. The transcript has 2 exons. Lineage: Eukaryota; Metazoa; Chordata; Mammalia; Carnivora; Felidae.
CUUCUCCAGAUCUAAUUAACAGGCGGGAAGUUCAGAUUCUGUAUCCAGGCGCGAGCUCUUUGUGGUCUUUUAGGGCGCUCACGAUUUCCCUCAAGCGGCUAAAUUCUGUGAUUUGGAUUUCUUCAAACUUCAGCCAAAAUUGAUUUCUUUGAGCUCCUUCCUACAAGAAGGCCUUUACGUGUGUGGGUCUCUGCCCUUAAUAAGAGGUUGUGAUGACUGAAAGCCCACCAGCCAUCUUGUCAAUGAGAUAAUACAUGCUCUGGAUGGCAGAAGAGAAAAAUGGAAGAGCUACAAUAUCAGAUUGGGCUGCCUAAUGCUAUAUGAAAGAAAAAUAAAUUCCUCAUUUGUCUAA